CCAAUAGCGUAUAUUAAAGUUGUUGCAGUUAAAAAGCUCGUAGUUGAAUUUCGGGAUCGACGGGUCGGUCGCGCCUCUGGUGUGUACUGGCCCUGUCGGUUUCUCCCUUCUGACGAACCACGAUGUCAUUAAUUUGGCGUCGUGGGAAAUCAGGACUGUUACUUUGAAAAAAUUAGAGUGUUUAAAGCAGGCAUUCGCUUGAAUACAUUAGCAUGGAAUAAUGAAAUAGGACGUUUGAUCUUAUUUUGUUGGUUUCUAAGAUCGACGUAAUGAUUAAUAGGGAUAGUUGGGGGCAUUAGUAUUCAAUUGUCAGAGGUGAAAUUCUUGGAUUUAUUGAAGACUAACUACUGCGAAAGCAUUUGCCAAGGAUGUUUUCAUUAAUCAAGAACGAAAGUUAGGGGAUCGAAGACGAUCAGAUACCGUCGUAGUCUUAACCAUAAACUAUGCCGACUAGGGAUCGGAUGAUGUUAAUUUUUUAAUGACUCAUUCGGCGCCUUACG
Molecule: ribosomal RNA, 500 nt
Filed under: uncultured Glomeromycotina
Lineage: Eukaryota; Fungi; Glomeromycota
Description: partial small subunit ribosomal RNA
Rfam family: Eukaryotic small subunit ribosomal RNA
Source: RNAcentral